RNAcentral lists this ribosomal RNA (253 nucleotides) under uncultured bacterium. RNAcentral describes it as "partial 16S ribosomal RNA". It matches the Rfam family "Bacterial small subunit ribosomal RNA", at positions 524 to 776 of the family's 1533-position model. The record is from RNAcentral.
UACAGAGGGGGCAAGCGUUGUUCGGAAUUAUUGGGCGUAAAGGGCGCGUAGGCGGCCUUCUAAGUCGAACGUGAAAUCCCCGGGCUCAACCCGGGAACUGCGUCCGAUACUGGAAGGCUUGAAUCCGGGAGAGGGAUGCGGAAUUCCAGGUGUAGCGGUGAAAUGCGUAGAUAUCUGGAGGAACACCGGUGGCGAAGGCGGCAUCCUGGACCGGCAUUGACGCUGAGGCGCGAAAGCCAGGGGAGCAAACGGG